This 447-nucleotide ribosomal RNA is filed under the name uncultured bacterium. RNAcentral describes it as "bacterial SSU rRNA". It matches the Rfam family "Bacterial small subunit ribosomal RNA", at positions 329 to 793 of the family's 1533-position model. The record is from RNAcentral.
UGCCAGACUCCUACGGGAGGCAGCAGUGGGGAAUAUUGCACAAUGGGGGAAACCCUGAUGCAGCGACGCCGCGUGGAGGAAGAAGGUCUUCGGAUUGUAAACUCCUGUCCUUGGGGACGAUAAUGACGGUGCCCAAGGAGGAAGCACCGGCUAACUACGUGCCAGCAGCCGCGGUAAAACGUAGGGGGCAAGCGUUAUCCGGAUUUACUGGGUGUAAAGGGGGCGCAGGCGGCGAUGCAAGCCAGGAGUGAAAGCCCGGGGCCCAACCCCGGGACUGCUCUUGGAACUGCGUGGCUGGAGUGCAGGAGGGGCAGGCGGAAUUCCUGGUGUAGCGGUGAAAUGCGUAGAUAUCAGGAGGAACACCGGUGGCGAAGGCGGCCUGCUGGACUGCAACUGACGUUGAGGCCCGAAAGCGUGGGGAGCAAACAGGAUUAGAUACCCUGGUAG